GCGAAAACAGAAUGAAUGAUUUAAGUAGGAUAGGAACAAUAAUGUAAUAACUUCAAUAAAUAAACAUCUAAAGCAAACUAUUCUUAUAUAAUAGAAAAUCAUAUCUGCAAUGGAACCUAACAUAGCAAAUUAGGUAGAUUGUACUAUUGUCUAAAGUUAAAGAUUUCUUCGCCCAAGCUGCAAUGCAAACUGAUCAACAGCCACCACAGCACGAGAUGCUGCACCAAUUGAGCCAUCAUACCUGUCAAUGCAAGUGAAUUCAAUCUUUCCAGCAUGUCAAAUCCUUUAGCCUCUAUUAGGAAGAAAGAGGGAAAUGGAGGGAGAGGGGAAAUGGGGAGAAAAUGAAGGGAAAUUGAGAUUUGGGGCCUACAUAAUAAGAAACAAUUUUAUGGUUCCUUAUCCCAUUUUCUCUUCUCCCCAUUUUCCCAUCUCUCCCAAACAGAGACUUAGUUCCUUAAACAAUACAAAUGCUUCAAUCGGUAUAACAACCCAUAGCUGAACAUGUAUACAAUGCAAAAAUGAACACGUUAACACAAGUAUGGUAAAAGGCUUACAAUGCAACCAAGAGGAAUGCUGCUGUCUGCAUGACAAUAGUACCUUCACCAGUUGGUUUUGAUGUAUUUACACACCUUGCAGAGAACCAAUUCUCAUGAAUUGAAGUAACCACAUCUGCCACCCAAUUUAGCCAUUGUAAGACAGUAAUCACAUAAUGGACAAAAAAAAUGUAAAAAUUAUGUUGUAGGAGCCACAAUUACUAGGAAAUGUUAUGUGCACAAAGUGCCACAAAGUGCAAGGCAUGGAUUAAAAUGGACAUUAAGAAAUUCAAUUUACAUAUUUUUUGACUCUAGCAACCUGCAAUGAGUUGCACAACAUAAUACACAGUCCAACUUAGAGUGACAUCGCUAAUAUCCCCUAAUAUUGGUUGUUUGACAAAAACAAAGAGAUCAAAAGAUCAACUAUUAGGCUUAAUAUUUGGCUAGACAACGUGGAAAAAGUAAAUUAACUUCACAAAUAAAUAAUUACGCAGUAUAAUUUAGCUAUAUAUCACCAAAACCAGAAUCAAAUAAGUUCAUAGCCAAAAACUAAAUCUAACCUCAACCAUCCAGAAAAACAUGAUUAAAGAGCACAGAGACAAAUAGCCCCAAUUUUAGAUCUGUUAGAGUAGUGUAGCCACAGUAAGAGAUAAGCCACAACUGUGGCUCUUGUAAAUCACAUAACUAACAUCCUUCUCUUGUCUAGCCUGCACUAGUCAAUGUUCCUUGAUCAAAGCACAGAUCUUUCCAACUACAACUUCACAAAUAAUAUUUCUCUCAACAUUGGUCUCCAUUCUCUAAACUAGUUCCCCGUUAAGAAAAUCUUCCACGUGAAUAAAACCAAGAAGUAGGUUAUAAACAUUAACUUGAAUAAAAGAAUAACACAUUUUUCUAAUAAAGAAAGACUAAUACACUUUUAAGUUAAAAAAAUGUUCUCAAUCAAGAAAAACUUGUUUGCAAAAAUAAGCAGCUUUUGAAUUAGAAUCAACUCCGCUUGUCGUCAAUAUUAACACAUUUACCCUACAUUCAUUUUGGCUGGAGCAAUUAUAACACUUCAACUAGCUAAAUGAAAUUUGGCUUCUCAUAUUAUUGUAUUUAAUUUAAUAUGACUAUCAAACAUUAGAUCAAAAGUUGCAGAAGAACUUACAUUGAUUUGGCCCAAUAAUAAAGCUCUCAGUUUGGAGUUUGUUGUGUUUGAUGAAAUCAAUGAAUUGACUCAGUUCAAUAGGAUUGACUUUUAUCCCUUCUUGUUCUGCAAUGGUAGACAAUAACCGUGAUGGUCCAGAGGGGUCAUAGUUAAUAAGCAGAGCUGCCUUCAAUGGUUUGCCUAAUAAGUUGCAAUAAACAAAAUCUGUAAAUGUAUGUGUUAUACAUAUACCAAUUGAAAAGGGUAUGUUACCAGAGGAACCAAUGCUGUGGGAAGCCCACUUCUCCCAAGUUUUGUGUGCAAAACCCCAAUCCAUUCCACCAAAAAUCCUAAGGAACAGUGAAGCAGUUGCUCAAGUCUUGUGUUUUGACUCCGAAAUGUGAGUUAGCUUCUAAAGAAAACCAGAAAAUUGCGGGAAAAUACUUGGAAAUAAAGCAAUGAAGACCAAGAUCAAAGACAACCGAGCAGAGAUGGUGUUUCGGUUGGAUAAAGGCUAUGGAACGUGCCGGAAAAAUGAUUGCUGCGGUGGCUGUGACUGUGGUUAUUAUUAUAUUAUUAUUUUGGUGGCGUAGAAACGCAAUGUGAGAGCAGAUUUCGGUUACAAACAAUUAUAGUUCUUGAUCCG
RNAcentral lists this unclassified non-coding RNA (2305 nucleotides) under Hevea brasiliensis (rubber tree). Lineage: Eukaryota; Viridiplantae; Streptophyta; Magnoliopsida; Malpighiales; Euphorbiaceae. The record is from RNAcentral.